This 862-nucleotide ribosomal RNA is filed under the name uncultured sulfate-reducing bacterium. RNAcentral's name for it is "bacterial SSU rRNA". It matches the Rfam family "Bacterial small subunit ribosomal RNA", at positions 301 to 1155 of the family's 1533-position model. The record is from RNAcentral.
UGAUCAGCCACACUGGGACUGACACACGGUCCAGACUCCUACGGGAGGCAGCAGUGAGGAAUUUUGCGCAAUGGGGGAAACCCUGACGCAGCAACGCCGCGUGAGUGAUGAAGUCUUUCGGGUCGUAAAGCUCUGUCAAGUGGGAAGAACCUAUAUAAUGUUAAUACCAUUAUAUACUGACGGUACCACUGAAGGAAGCACCGGCUAACUCCGUGCCAGCAGCCGCGGUAAUACGGGGGGUGCAAGCGUUAUUCGGAAUCAUUGGGCGUAAAGAGCACGUAGGCGGCUUGGUGAGUCAGAUGUGAAAGCCCGGGGCUUAACCCCGGAAGUGCAUUUGAUACUGCCAAGCUUGAGUAUGGGAGAGGGAAGUGGAAUUCCUGGUGUAGAGGUGAAAUUCGUAGAUAUCAGGAGGAACACCGGUGGCGAAGGCGACUUCCUGGACCAAUACUGACGCUGAGGUGCGAAGGCGUGGGUAGCAAACAGGAUUAGAUACCCUGGUAGUCCACGCAGUAAACGUUGUUCACUAGGUGUAGCGGGUAUUGACCCCUGCUGUGCCGCAGUUAACGCAUUAAGUGAACCGCCUGGGGAGUACGGCCGCAAGGUUAAAACUCAAAGGAAUUGACGGGGGCCCGCACAAGCGGUGGAGCAUGUGGUUUAAUUCGACGCAACGCGAAGAACCUUACCUGGAUUUGACAUCCCGGGAAUCCUAUCGAAAGACUGGAGUGCCCUUCGGGGAGCCCGGAGACAGGUGCUGCAUGCCUGUCGUCAGCUCGUGUCGUGAGAAUGUGGGUUAGUCCCGCAACGAGCGCAACCCUUGUCUUUAGUUGCCAUCAUUCAGUUGGGAACUCUAAGAUACUGCCCC